Perca flavescens (yellow perch) is the source of this 1470-nucleotide long non-coding RNA. RefSeq lists it as uncharacterized. NCBI's taxonomy places the organism in Eukaryota, Metazoa, Chordata, Actinopteri, Perciformes, Percidae. The record is from RefSeq and is a predicted model, not a curated record. The transcript is spliced from 7 exons.
AGAGACUGGACUGCAUGCCACACAGCAGCCUCCCUCCGUCAUUAGGCAAUAAUCAUCCGCGGCACUAUCCACUGCCUUGGGCCGGAUAGACAACAAACACACCGUUCCUGUGUCCCGUUGCUAACUUACAGCUAGCUUAUGCUAACGUCUGUACUGUUGCUACUUUGGCUGUUCGGGGCGAACAAACAAACGACCCCGCGGUCACAUUCACCGGAAUGACGCUAGGAGAAAAGUAGGCAUCGCUGUGAGAAGGAAUAUGGCGUUUGAUAUCGGUUUUGUUUGUGUUUCUGCUAAUAGACGGUUGCAGGUGGACUGGUGUUUACAUGGUCCGUGGGAGCUGGAAGUCGGCAGAAAUGGAGCCUCAGUGGAUGUCAUCUGGGAAGAAGAAGAGGAGGAACCUUCUAGAUACAGACCAGCUGGAGGGACCUCUUCUCUGAGUCCCAGGGAGACGGCCACCAGCUGCAUCCCGCUGGUGGCCGUCUCCCUGCACAUCCCGCCCCCUCAGCUGUCACCUAGCUGCCCUGCAAAAGUGGCAUAGUGCCGGGGAGGUGUUCCACUUCAGAGGCAGGGAGAUCUUCUCCAGAGGACUGACCAAAACUGCACAGGACACCGCAUCAUUGACAGCCUGUCUUUCUAAUGGAGGAUUAUUCCCAGAAACACAUUACCCACGUUUGCUGCAGAAGUGCACAUGAUCUACGGUUCCCUGGACCCAGUCAACCCUCAUCCUCAGUCUUUACCAAUACCCGAGGCCACCUGAGGGUUAAGUUGCUGGGAUCAGAGCAUGGUGCAGGCUCCAGAGCGAGGGCCCCUGGCUCCGGACAGCGCUCCGCCUCUGUUUGUCUCUGACUCGCUGCUCCCGGCAGCAGCAGCAGCAGCAGCGGAGGAGGAGGAGGAGAGAGGCUCUCCCCGGACGGCUGCGUCCCCGCUGAUGGCUCCCUGCGCUGGGGGUUGGUCCCUGUCGCUGGUCUGCUUGGACCUGGAGAAGGACAGCCGCCUGAAGAGAGACAGCUGAUCGGAGGACAGACAGUUCAUUUAAUCACCUCCCUGUGAUGUCACACAGCACACAGGCCACCUGGCGCACUCGUCCCUUCUUGAAGUGUUGGACCGGCUGCGGCAGCGGCGACUGGAAGACGAACGUCCCGUGACCGAGCUGUCCGAACUGGCCGAGGCCGAACGUGAACACGUUGUCCUCUGAGAGACAAGAAACACAUUAACUAAACCUGUACUCUAUGAAAGGAUUCAUUCAGAAUGCCUGAUCGCCUCUGAUCUUACUGACAUUUUCUUUAAAAUAAAAAAGAUAAAUGUGAAAUAGUAAAUAUUGAAUACAUUUUGUUUCUUCUUUUUAACCCUGUUUUGUGAGGUGGUUCGGGCUGCAUCUCUGCAAGAUUGUAUACAUUAUAAUAUUGUAAUUGUAGAAACCUGGCAGUCAGCAGGGUUCCAAAUACUUAAAUGCACAUUAGAUUGAUUUUA